CGCAGCUCGACUUACCCUACGUCGCGAGACAUGGUUAUGAUAAUUAUGUGCGCAAACUUUAAUAGGUGCGAUCAUACCAACACUAAUGCACCGGAUCCUAUCAGAACUCCGCAGUUAAGCUUGCUUGGGUGAGAAUAGUACUAGGAUGGUUGACCUCCUGGGAAGUCCUUGUGUUGCACCUUUUUUUUUUA
This is a non-coding RNA of Arachis ipaensis, 191 nucleotides long. The record is from RefSeq and is a predicted model, not a curated record. NCBI's taxonomy places the organism in Eukaryota, Viridiplantae, Streptophyta, Magnoliopsida, Fabales, Fabaceae.